UACCGGAUCGAGGAGUCUAACAUGUGUGCAAGCGAAUAAGAUCUGACCAUCUUAUACGCAGAAUGAAAGUGAAGUGCUGUUUGGCAGCAUUAGCGGAGAUCUGUAUCAUUGAUAUGGUGCAGCGCAUCCGCAGGCCGCGUUAUCGGUUAGCUUGCUGGCAUACGUUUCGGCGUUGUGUUGGCACUGCUGAGACGUGGACCUAGAGCUCGUUUGUUGGUACCCGAAAGAUGGUGAACUAUGCUUGUCCAGGACGAAGCCAGGGGAAACCCUGGUGGAGGUCCGAAGCGAUUCUGACGUGCAAAUCGAUCGUCUGAGCUGAGUAUAGGGGCGAAAGACCAAUCGAACCAUCUAGUAGCUGGUUCCGCCUGAAGUUUCCCUCAGGAUAGCUGACACUUAUUGGAGACGGAGUUUCAUCUGGUAAAGCGAAUGAUCAGAGGAAAUGGGCUAAUUAUUGGCUCAACCUAUUCUCAAACUUUUAACAGAUGAGACGUCCCGCUGACUUGAGUGCAGCGGUGACUCUGAAUCCGAGUGUCUAGUGGGCCACUUUUGGUAAGCAGAACUGGCGAUGCGGGAUGAACCGCACACCGAGUUGAGGUGCCUAAACGAACGCGAAUCAGAUACCAUGAAAGGUGUUGAUUGCUCAUGACAGCAGGACGGUGGCCAUGGAAGUCGGCAUCCGCUAAGGAGUGUGUAACAACUCACCUGCG
This 707-nucleotide ribosomal RNA is filed under the name Parthenopea subterranea. RNAcentral describes it as "eukaryotic LSU rRNA". It matches the Rfam family "Eukaryotic large subunit ribosomal RNA", at positions 665 to 1298 of the family's 3401-position model. The record is from RNAcentral. Lineage: Eukaryota; Metazoa; Arthropoda; Thecostraca; Lernaeodiscidae.